RNAcentral lists this ribosomal RNA (359 nucleotides) under Ensifer meliloti. RNAcentral's name for it is "Sinorhizobium meliloti bacterial SSU rRNA". It matches the Rfam family "Bacterial small subunit ribosomal RNA", at positions 1000 to 1358 of the family's 1533-position model. Lineage: Bacteria; Pseudomonadati; Pseudomonadota; Alphaproteobacteria; Hyphomicrobiales; Rhizobiaceae. The record is from RNAcentral.
CGAGAGAUCGUAUCCUUCAGUUCGGCUGGAUCGGAGACAGGUGCUGCAUGGCUGUCGUCAGCUCGUGUCGUGAGAUGUUGGGUUAAGUCCCGCAACGAGCGCAACCCUCGCCCUUAGUUGCCAGCAUUCAGUUGGGCACUCUAAGGGGACUGCCGGUGAUAAGCCGAGAGGAAGGUGGGGAUGACGUCAAGUCCUCAUGGCCCUUACGGGCUGGGCUACACACGUGCUACAAUGGUGGUGACAGUGGGCAGCGAGACCGCGAGGUCGAGCUAAUCUCCAAAAGCCAUCUCAGUUCGGAUUGCACUCUGCAACUCGAGUGCAUGAAGUUGGAAUCGCUAGUAAUCGCAGAUCAGCAUGCU